This 880-nucleotide ribosomal RNA is filed under the name Vibrio cholerae. RNAcentral describes it as "partial 23S ribosomal RNA". It matches the Rfam family "Bacterial large subunit ribosomal RNA", at positions 346 to 1238 of the family's 2925-position model. Lineage: Bacteria; Pseudomonadati; Pseudomonadota; Gammaproteobacteria; Vibrionales; Vibrionaceae. The record is from RNAcentral.
AAAGCUUGGCGAUACAGGGUGAUAGCCCCGUAACCGACGCUUCAUCGAGCGUGAAAUCGAGUAGGGCGGGACACGUGAUAUCCUGUCUGAAUAUGGGGGGACCAUCCUCCAAGGCUAAAUACUCCUGACUGACCGAUAGUGAACCAGUACCGUGAGGGAAAGGCGAAAAGAACCCCUGUGAGGGGAGUGAAAUAGAACCUGAAACCGUGUACGUACAAGCAGUAGGAGCACCUUCGUGGUGUGACUGCGUACCUUUUGUAUAAUGGGUCAGCGACUUAUAUUCAGUGGCAAGGUUAACCGUAUAGGGGAGCCGUAGCGAAAGCGAGUCUUAACUGGGCGCUCAGUCUCUGGAUAUAGACCCGAAACCGGGUGAUCUAGCCAUGGGCAGGUUGAAGGUUGAGUAACAUCAACUGGAGGACCGAACCGACUAAUGUUGAAAAAUUAGCGGAUGACUUGUGGCUAGGGGUGAAAGGCCAAUCAAACUCGGAGAUAGCUGGUUCUCCCCGAAAGCUAUUUAGGUAGCGCCUCGGACGAAUACUACUGGGGGUAGAGCACUGUUAAGGCUAGGGGGUCAUCCCGACUUACCAACCCUUUGCAAACUCCGAAUACCAGUAAGUACUAUCCGGGAGACACACGGCGGGUGCUAACGUCCGUCGUGGAGAGGGAAACAACCCAGACCGCCAGCUAAGGUCCCAAAGUAUUGCUAAGUGGGAAACGAUGUGGGAAGGCUCAGACAGCUAGGAUGUUGGCUUAGAAGCAGCCAUCAUUUAAAGAAAGCGUAAUAGCUCACUAGUCGAGUCGGCCUGCGCGGAAGAUGUAACGGGGCUAAGCAAUACACCGAAGCUGCGGCAAUAUCUUUUAGAUAUUGGGUAGGGGAGCG